AAAUCAGUUAUCGUUUAUUUGAUAGUACCUUUACUACUUGGAUAACCGUGGUAAUUCUAGAGCUAAUACAUGCUAAAAAUCCCGACUGUUUGGAAGGGAUGUAUUUAUUAGAUAAAAAAUCAAUGCUCUUUGAGCUCUUUGAUGAUUCAUAAUAACUUUUCGAAUCGCAUGGCCUUGUGCUGGCGAUGGUUCAUUCAAAUUUCUGCCCUAUCAACUUUCGAUGGUAGGAUAGUGGCCUACCAUGGUUUCAACGGGUAACGGGGAAUAAGGGUUCGAUUCCGGAGAGGGAGCCUGAGAAACGGCUACCACAUCCAAGGAAGGCAGCAGGCGCGCAAAUUACCCAAUCCCGACACGGGGAGGUAGUGACAAUACAUAACGAUACAGGGCCCUUUCGGGUCUUGUAAUUGGAAUGAGUACAAUGUAAAUACCUUAACGAGGAACAAUUGGAGGGCAAGUCUGGUGCCAGCAGCCGCGGUAAUUCCAGCUCCAAUAGCGUAUAUUAAAGUUGUUGCAGUUAAAAAGCUCG
This 526-nucleotide ribosomal RNA is filed under the name uncultured eukaryote. Its description in RNAcentral is "SSU rRNA". It matches the Rfam family "Eukaryotic small subunit ribosomal RNA", at positions 103 to 630 of the family's 1831-position model. The record is from RNAcentral.